GAUGAACGCUGGCGGCGUGCCUAAUACAUGCAAGUCGAACGAAACUUCUUUAUCACCGAGUGCUUGCACUCACCGAUAAAGGGUUGAGUGGCGAACGGGUGAGUAACACGUGGGCAACCUGCCCAAAAGAGGGGGAUAACACUUGGAAACAGGUGCUAAUACCCGAUAACCAUAGUUACCGCAUGGUAACUAUGUAAAAGGUGGCAAUACUACCGCGUUUGGAUGGGCCCGCGGCGCAUUAGCUAGUUGGUCGGGUAAAGGCUUACCAAGGCAAUGAUGCGUAGCCGAAUUGAGAGGUUGAUCGGCCACAUUGGGACUGAGACACGGCCCAAACUCCUACGGGAGGCAGCAGUAGGGAAUCUUCCACAAUGGGCGAAAGCCUGAUGGAGCAACGCCGCGUGGGUGAAGAAGGUCUUCGGAUCGUAAAACCCUGUUGUUAGGGAAGAAAGUGCGUGGGAGUAACUGUUCACGUUUCGACGGUAUCUAACCAGAAAGCCCCGGCUAACUACGUG
RNAcentral lists this ribosomal RNA (512 nucleotides) under uncultured bacterium. RNAcentral describes it as "partial 16S ribosomal RNA". It matches the Rfam family "Bacterial small subunit ribosomal RNA", at positions 28 to 507 of the family's 1533-position model. The record is from RNAcentral.